UCUAUAACUUGAGAUAUGGGCUGAACACUGAACAGUGUCUGGGCUGUAGGACAGAUUCAGACUUCUCCGUUGUUGCUACAAUUUGGACUUGAAAAUGGCCUUUUUAAAUGUUGGACUCCUCUUGCAAGUUUUAGGCCUAUCUUUUAGCUUUCCAUC
Non-coding RNA from Populus trichocarpa (black cottonwood), 156 nucleotides. NCBI's taxonomy places the organism in Eukaryota, Viridiplantae, Streptophyta, Magnoliopsida, Malpighiales, Salicaceae. The record is from Rfam.